AGCGUGGGGAGCAAACAGGAUUAGAUACCCUGGUAGUCCACGCUGUAAACGAUGAGUACUAGGUGUCGGGGGUUACCCCCCUCGGUGCCGCAGCUAACGCAUUAAGUACUCCGCCUGGGAAGUACGCUCGCAAGAGGGAAACUCAAAGGAAUUGACGGGGACCCGCACAAGUAGCGGAGCAUGUGGUUUAAUUCGAAGCAACGCGAAGAACCUUACCUAAGCUUGACAUCCCAAUGACAUCUCCUUAAUCGGAGAGUUCCCUUCGGGGACAUUGGUGACAGGUGGUGCAUGGUUGUCGUCAGCUCGUGUCGUGAGAUGUUGGGUUAAGUCCCGCAACGAGCGCAACCCUUGUCUUUAGUUGCCAU
RNAcentral lists this ribosomal RNA (365 nucleotides) under Clostridioides difficile. RNAcentral describes it as "bacterial SSU rRNA". It matches the Rfam family "Bacterial small subunit ribosomal RNA", at positions 758 to 1121 of the family's 1533-position model. Lineage: Bacteria; Bacillati; Bacillota; Clostridia; Peptostreptococcales; Peptostreptococcaceae. The record is from RNAcentral.